RNAcentral lists this ribosomal RNA (164 nucleotides) under uncultured bacterium. Its description in RNAcentral is "partial 16S ribosomal RNA". It matches the Rfam family "Bacterial small subunit ribosomal RNA", at positions 355 to 511 of the family's 1533-position model. The record is from RNAcentral.
UAGGGAAUCUUCCACAAUGGGCGAAAGCCUGAUGGAGCAACGCCGCGUGUGUGAUGAAGGGUUUCGGCUCGUAAAACACUGUUGUAAGAGAAGAAUGACAUUGAGAGUAACUGUUCAAUGCGUGACGGUAUCUUACCAGAAAGGAACGGCUAAAUACGUGCCAA